UACGUAGGGGGCAAGCGUUGUCUGGAUUUAUUGGGCGUAAAGAGCGUGUAGGCGGCCGUACAGGUCAGCUGUGAAAACUCGAGGCUCAACCUCGAGACGUCGGUUGAAACCGUACGGCUAGAGUCCGGAAGAGGAGAGUGGAAUUCCCGGUGUAGCGGUGAAAUGCGCAGAUAUCGGGAAGAACACCCGUGGCGAAGGCGGCUCUCUGGGCCGUUACUGACGCUGAGGAGCGAAAGCGUGGGGAGCGAACAGG
RNAcentral lists this ribosomal RNA (253 nucleotides) under uncultured bacterium. RNAcentral describes it as "partial 16S ribosomal RNA". It matches the Rfam family "Bacterial small subunit ribosomal RNA", at positions 524 to 776 of the family's 1533-position model. The record is from RNAcentral.